Molecule: long non-coding RNA, 390 nt
Filed under: Panax ginseng (ginseng)
Lineage: Eukaryota; Viridiplantae; Streptophyta; Magnoliopsida; Apiales; Araliaceae
Description: long non-coding RNA (PGIN_LNC014306)
Source: RNAcentral
GAUGAGAAAGGAGUACCAGAUCUAGGAGUAGCAAUGAGCAGCGAAUCCAAACAGUGGCGGAUUCAAGUAGCAGCGACUCUUCUUCGCGUCCAUUUCUUUCUUUAUUUGGGUCGGAGGUUCGCGGCGCGCAGCGUGCAGCUACGGCGAGAUCGAAUUGUGGUGGUGUUGGAACAAAUAAUUUUAUGUAUAAUGUGGAGAUCUGCAUUUGGGUUUUAGAAGUUUUGUUCAAUCUGGAAACCUCCAGAGGAUCAAAUUGAAUUCUGUGUGUUUAGAUCUAGGUUUAUUAUAAUAGACUGUUUUGUGUAAACAUGAAGAUCUACAUUUAGGCUUCAAAAUAUUUUGUUUAAUUUGGAUACCACCAAUUUGAUCUAUAUAUAAAUAUAUGCAGAU